This 337-nucleotide unclassified non-coding RNA is filed under the name soil metagenome. Its description in RNAcentral is "partial contains 5.8S ribosomal RNA, internal transcribed spacer 2, and large subunit ribosomal RNA". The stretch from base 1 to 120 matches the Rfam family "5.8S ribosomal RNA", at positions 35 to 154 of the family's 154-position model. The record is from RNAcentral.
GAUGAAGAACGUAGCGAAAUGCGAUAAGUAGUGUGAAUUGCAGAAUUCAGUGAAUCAUCGAAUCUUUGAACGCACAUUGCGCCCCAUGGUAUUCCGUGGGGCAUGCCUGUUCGAGCGUCAUUUACCCCCUCAAGCUCCGCUUGGUGUUGGGCGUCUGUCCCGCUUCGCGCGCGGACUCGCCCCAAAGGUAUUGGCAGCGGUCGUGCCAGCUUCUCGCGCAGCACAUUGCGCUUCUCGAGGCACCGGUGGGCCCGCGUCCAUCAAGCUCACCCCCCCAGUUUGACCUCGGAUCAGGUAGGGAUAGCCGCUGAACUUAAGCAUAUCAAUAAGCGGAGGA